This 253-nucleotide ribosomal RNA is filed under the name uncultured bacterium. RNAcentral's name for it is "partial 16S ribosomal RNA". It matches the Rfam family "Bacterial small subunit ribosomal RNA", at positions 524 to 776 of the family's 1533-position model. The record is from RNAcentral.
UACGUAUGGUGCAAGCGUUAUCCGGAUUUACUGGGUGUAAAGGGAGCGCAGGCGGCACGGCAAGCCUGAUGUGAAAGCCCGCGGCCCAACCGCGGGACUGCAUUGGGAACUACCGGGCUGGAGUGCCGGAGAGGUAGGCGGAAUUCCUAGUGUAGCGGUGAAAUGCGUAGAUAUUAGGAGGAACACCAGUGGCGAAGGCGACCUACUGGACGGUGACUGACGCUGAGGCUCGAAAGCGUGGGGAGCAAACAGG